This is a long non-coding RNA of Salvia miltiorrhiza (redroot sage), 691 nucleotides long. RefSeq lists it as uncharacterized. The transcript is spliced from 2 exons. The record is from RefSeq and is a predicted model, not a curated record. Lineage: Eukaryota; Viridiplantae; Streptophyta; Magnoliopsida; Lamiales; Lamiaceae.
UAUUUAAACUAAGUCCAUCUGAGAAUAGGGCCCAAAAAUAAAUAGUCUCCGAGAAUUAACUUAGCCCAAUUAAAUAUACAAGUUUAAUAAAUAAUUAAUCCACCAUCUUCUUCUCAAGUUAAGAAAAUCAGAUUUCUUUCUCUCUCCCCGUGUUCUCUCACUCACCGCGUCUCUCUCUCUCCCUUCGCUCCCUUUCUCAGCCGGCAACUUCGCCGGUCCUUGCCGCCUCCGGUCGCGAGGCCAGCCCCUCUUCUUCCCUCCUUCUGUCCUUCCCUUUCUCUUUCCCUAAAUUCUCAAAUCAAUUCAACCUAGGGUUUUCUGCCUCCCUUUCCCCUCUGAAAUUCGCCCCUCCGGCGAGUCCCGCCGCCACUACCGCCGUCUCCGUCGCACCGCUACCCCUGCCUCAGAAAUCAAUGCUCUUCGGUGAACAUCGCUGGCGGGACAAGGCAGCCUCGGUUUCACUGUGGCUAUUCGAAUUCCAUCUGUUCUUUUUUUUUCUUUUUGUAUUUAUUCAGUCCAUAAACUCUUCGAAACAGGAAGCAUACUCUAGAUGCUAAAGAAAAUUGAGUUUUAUUGCUUGGUAUCUUAAAUUAGAACUAGAUGUAACUAUUGUCUAAUUCUGUUAUUCUCGACUGUUGUUUACGAAUGAAUUACUGAACUGUAUAAAAGAGUACUACCUGCUUGGGUUGAA